GGAGGUUUAGUUUAUUUGUAGUAAAAUUUUAAUAUGCAAUAUUAAGGAAAUUAAUCUCUU
This 60-nucleotide transfer RNA is filed under the name Sacculina confragosa. Its description in RNAcentral is "tRNA-Cys". Lineage: Eukaryota; Metazoa; Arthropoda; Thecostraca; Sacculinidae. The record is from RNAcentral.